CCUACGGGAGGCAGCAGUGAGGAAUAUUGGUCAAUGGACGAGAGUCUGAACCAGCCAAGUAGCGUGAAGGAUGACUGCCCUAUGGGUUGUAAACUUCUUUUAUAUGGGAAUAACAUGUUUUACGUGUGGGACUUUGUAUGUACCAUAUGAAUAAGGAUCGGCUAACUCCGUGCCAGCAGCCGCGGUAAUACGGAGGGUCCGAGCGUUAUCCGGAUUUAUUGGGUUUAAAGGGAGCGUAGGUGGAAUGUUAAGUCAGUUGUGAAAGUUUGGGGCUCAACCCGAAAAUUGCAGUUGAAACUGGCAGUCUUGAGUACAGUAGAGGUGGGCGGAAUUCGUGGUGUAGCGGUGAAAUGCUUAGAUAUGACGAAGAACUCCGAUUGCGAAGGCAGCUCACUGGAGUGCAACUGACACUGAGGCUCGAAAGUGCGGGUAUCAAACAGGAUUAGAUACCCCGGUAGUC
RNAcentral lists this ribosomal RNA (460 nucleotides) under uncultured bacterium. Its description in RNAcentral is "partial 16S ribosomal RNA". It matches the Rfam family "Bacterial small subunit ribosomal RNA", at positions 338 to 795 of the family's 1533-position model. The record is from RNAcentral.